AACGAACGCUGGCGGCAGGCUUAACACAUGCAAGUCGAGCGCCCCGCAAGGGGAGCGGCAGACGGGUGAGUAACGCGUGGGAAUCUACCCAUCUCUACGGAAUAACUCAGGGAAACUUGUGCUAAUACCGUAUACGCCCUUAGGGGGAAAGAUUUAUCGGAGAUGGAUGAGCCCGCGUUGGAUUAGCUAGUUGGUGGGGUAAAGGCCUACCAAGGCGACGAUCCAUAGCUGGUCUGAGAGGAUGAUCAGCCACAUUGGGACUGAGACACGGCCCAAACUCCUACGGGAGGCAGCAGGGGGGAAUAUUGGACAAUGGGCGCAAGCCUGAUCCAGCCAUGCCGCGUGAGUGAUGAAGGCCUUAGGGUUGUAAAGCUCUUUCACCGGAGAAGAUAAUGACGGUAUCCGGAGAAGAAGCCCCGGCUAACUUCGUGCCAGCCGCCGCCUGUAA
This 448-nucleotide ribosomal RNA is filed under the name uncultured bacterium. RNAcentral's name for it is "partial 16S ribosomal RNA". It matches the Rfam family "Bacterial small subunit ribosomal RNA", at positions 29 to 523 of the family's 1533-position model. The record is from RNAcentral.